RNAcentral lists this ribosomal RNA (514 nucleotides) under uncultured bacterium. RNAcentral's name for it is "partial 16S ribosomal RNA". It matches the Rfam family "Bacterial small subunit ribosomal RNA", at positions 28 to 523 of the family's 1533-position model. The record is from RNAcentral.
GACGAACGCUGGCGGCGUGCCUAAUACAUGUAAGUCGAGCGGAUGAUGGAGGAGCUUGCUCCUCCUGAUUCAGCGGCGGACGGGAGAGUAACACGUGGGCAACCUGCCCUGUAGAUUGGGAUAACUCCGGGAAACCGGGGCUAAUACCGAAUAAUCCUUCGGACCUCAUGGUCCGAUGUUGAAAGACGGUUUCGGCUGUCACUACAGGAUGGGCUCGCGGCGCAUUAGCUAGUUGGUGAGGUAACGGGUCACCAAGGCCACGAUGCGUAGCCGACCUGAGAGGGUGAUCGGCCACACUGGGACUGGGACACGGCCCAGACUCCUACGGGAGGCAGCAGUAGGGAAUCUUCCACAAUGGACGAAAGUCUGAUGGAGCAACGCCGCGUGAGUGAAGAAGGUUCUCGGAUCGUAAAACUCUGUUGUGAGGGAAGAACAAGUACCGGAGUAACUGCCGGUGCCUUGACGGUACCUCAUUAGAAAGCCACGGCUAACUACGUGCCAGCCGCCGCAGUAA